Molecule: long non-coding RNA, 214 nt
Filed under: Elaeis guineensis (African oil palm)
Lineage: Eukaryota; Viridiplantae; Streptophyta; Magnoliopsida; Arecales; Arecaceae
Description: long non-coding RNA (EGUI_LNC013298)
Source: RNAcentral
CCCGUUUUUAAGGGAAUCUAAUCAUGAUCAGGGCCUUCUGUGAUAUCAAACCUGAUGGUUCUUGUUCUCAGCUGAGCUCUUAGCCUGUGCUCGGGUCCGUGCAUGUAGUUAAAGAGUGAGUUCACCAGCUAAUGAUCAAGAAGAAAGUUAGGACGAAUUAUAGUUGAAUUAUAUUCUUAGUGCGGCUUUGAUCAAUAUAUACACAAAAUGUGGG